UGCUAUGCAGUCGAAAGCUCCGUUCCUCAUUCCAAGACAAAAAGAUUGAGAAAGAGGGUGUUCACCCGUUUUCGUGUUUAACUCCUGAUGUGGAAGGGCGAAGUUCCCCACUGGCUUGAAGACCACUAGCUGGUCGACAAGUCAGCUUUCUUUGGUGUGUGAGCGUGCCACUGCUAGCAAUGUAGAUUCUAGCAGACUUAUUUUGAGAGUGGAUAACUUGCG
This 222-nucleotide long non-coding RNA is filed under the name Prunus persica (peach). RNAcentral's name for it is "long non-coding RNA (PPER_LNC000924)". The record is from RNAcentral. Lineage: Eukaryota; Viridiplantae; Streptophyta; Magnoliopsida; Rosales; Rosaceae.